GACGAACGCUGGCGGCGUGCUUAACACAUGCAAGUCGAACGAAGAGCGACGGAAGCUUGCUUCUAUCAAUCUUAGUGGCGAACGGGUGAGUAACGCGUAAUCAACCUGCCCUUCAGAGGGGGACAACAGUUGGAAACGACUGCUAAUACCGCAUACGAUCUAACCUCGGCAUCGAGGAUAGAUGAAAGGUGGCCUCUACAUGUAAGCUGUCACUGAAGGAGGGGAUUGCGUCUGAUUAGCUAGUUGGAGGGGUAACGGCCCACCAAGGCGAUGAUCAGUAGCCGGUCUGAGAGGAUGAACGGCCACAUUGGGACUGAGACACGGCCCAGACUCCUACGGGAGGCAGCAGUGGGGAAUCUUCCGCAAUGGACGGAAGUCUGACGGAGCAACGCCGCGUGAGUGAUGACGGCCUUCGGGUUGUAAAGCUCUGUUAAUCGGGACGAAAGGCCUUCUUGCGAAUAGUGAGAAGGAUUGACGGUACCGGAAGAGAAAGCCACGGCUAACUACGUG
Molecule: ribosomal RNA, 510 nt
Filed under: uncultured bacterium
Lineage: Bacteria
Description: partial 16S ribosomal RNA
Rfam family: Bacterial small subunit ribosomal RNA
Source: RNAcentral